AUACUUACCUGGCAGGGGAGACACUGUGAUCACCAAGGCAGUUCUCCCAGGGUGAGGAUCACCCAUUGCACUCCGGGUGUGCUGACCCCUGCGAUUUCCCCAAAUGCGGGAAACUCGACUGCUUAAAAAAAAAGUUUUUUUAUAAGGUUUUUUA
This 154-nucleotide small nuclear RNA is filed under the name Leptobrachium leishanense (Leishan spiny toad). Its description in RNAcentral is "U1 spliceosomal RNA (ENSLLEG00000030803.1)". It matches the Rfam family "U1 spliceosomal RNA". Rfam says of the family: U1 is a small nuclear RNA (snRNA) component of the spliceosome (involved in pre-mRNA splicing). Its 5' end forms complementary base pairs with the 5' splice junction, thus defining the 5' donor site of an intron. The record is from Rfam by way of RNAcentral. Lineage: Eukaryota; Metazoa; Chordata; Amphibia; Anura; Megophryidae.